UCAGGACAGGGUCUUGCUCUGUCGCUUAGGAGUGCAAUGGUGUAAUCUUGGCUCACUGCAACUUCCACCUCCUGGGCUUAAGCAAUUCUCCUGCCUCAGCCUCCCAAGUAGCUGGGACCAGAGAGACAGGGUCUCUCUUUGUUGUCCAGGUUCAGCUUCAAGUAAUCUUACAGCCUCAGCAUCCCAAAGUGCUAGGAUAACAGGCAUGAGCCAUGACACCCAGCCAAAUAUUCUUACUGGUACUUUAUAUUGUGUAUUUUAAUCGGAUUGUCUAGUCCUUCUAACAGCCGUGAAAUUAGCAAAAUGGCUGGCCAUCCAAAUGCAAACUGAUACAAUUCUUUUGGUGAUCUGGAACCUCUUGAGCAGCAGAAGCAGCAGAUCAUUAAUGAGGAAGGCACUGAGUUAUUCUCCUACAAAGGCAAUGAUGUUGAGUAUUUUAUAUCGUCUAGUUCCCCAUCCGGUUUAUAUCAGUUGGAUCUUCUUUCAACAGAGAAAGACACACAUUUCAAAGUAUAUGCCACCACAACUCCAGAAUCUGAUCAGCCAUACCCUGAGUUACCCUAUGACCCAAGAGUAGAUGUGACCUCACUGGGGCGCACUACGGUCACUUUGGCCUGGAAACCAAGCCCCACUGCCUCUUUGCUGAAACAACCCAUUCAGUACUGUGUGGUCAUCAACAAAGAGCACAAUUUCAAGAGUCUCUGUGCAGUGGAAGCAAAACUGAGUGCAGAUGAUGCUUUUAUGAUGGCACCGAAACCUGGUCUGGACUUCAGCCCCUUUGACUUUGCCCACUUUGGAUUUCCUUCUGAUAAUUCAGGUGAAGAACGCAGUUUCCAAGCAAAGCCUUCUCCAAAACUGGGGCGUCAUGUCUACUCCAGGCCUAAGGUUGAUAUUCAGAAAAUCUGCAUAGGAAACAA
Molecule: small RNA, 917 nt
Filed under: Pan troglodytes (chimpanzee)
Lineage: Eukaryota; Metazoa; Chordata; Mammalia; Primates; Hominidae
Description: processed transcript
Source: RNAcentral